AUUGAACGCUGGCGGCAGGCCUAACACAUGCAAGUCGAGCGGAUGAAGAGAGCUUGCUCUCUGAUUUAGCGGCGGACGGGUGAGUAAUGCCUAGGAAUCUGCCUGGUAGUGGGGGAUAACGUUCCGAAGGGAACGCUAAUACCGCAUACGUCCUACGGGAGAAAGUGGGGGAUCUUCGGACCUCACGCUAUCAGAUGAGCCUAGGUCGGAUUAGCUAGUUGGUGAGGUAAUGGCUCACCAAGGCGACGAUCCGUAACUGGUCUGAGAGGAUGAUCAGUCACACUGGAACUGAGACACGGUCCAGACUCCUACGGGAGGCAGCAGUGGGGAAUAUUGGACAAUGGGCGAAAGCCUGAUCCAGCCAUGCCGCGUGUGUGAAGAAGGUCUUCGGAUUGUAAAGCACUUUAAGUUGGGAGGAAGGGUUGUAGAUUAAUACUCUGCAAUUUUGACGUUACCGACAGAAUAAGCACCGGCUAACUUCGUGCCAGCAGCCGCGGUAA
This 500-nucleotide ribosomal RNA is filed under the name uncultured bacterium. Its description in RNAcentral is "partial 16S ribosomal RNA". It matches the Rfam family "Bacterial small subunit ribosomal RNA", at positions 30 to 523 of the family's 1533-position model. The record is from RNAcentral.